UAUAGAUGUCAUUGAGAAACUCAU
This 24-nucleotide non-coding RNA is filed under the name Arabidopsis thaliana (thale cress). Lineage: Eukaryota; Viridiplantae; Streptophyta; Magnoliopsida; Brassicales; Brassicaceae. The record is from RNAcentral.